This 253-nucleotide ribosomal RNA is filed under the name uncultured bacterium. Its description in RNAcentral is "partial 16S ribosomal RNA". It matches the Rfam family "Bacterial small subunit ribosomal RNA", at positions 524 to 776 of the family's 1533-position model. The record is from RNAcentral.
UACGUAGGUGGCAAGCGUUGUUCGGAAUUAUUGGGCGUAAAGGGCGCGUAGGCGGUUUGUUAAGUCGGCUGUGAAAGCCCGGGGCUCAACCCCGGAGGGUCAGCCGAUACUGGCAGACUAGAGUACGGAAGAGGUAGCUGGAAUUCCCGGUGUAGCGGUGAAAUGCGCAGAUAUCAGGAGGAACACCGGUGGCGAAGGCGGGUCUCUGGGCCGAUACUGACGCUGAGGAGCGAAAGCGUGGGGAGCGAACAGG